This 115-nucleotide non-coding RNA is filed under the name Actinoplanes derwentensis. RNAcentral's name for it is "SAM-IV sequence". It matches the Rfam family "SAM (S-adenosyl methionine) riboswitch aptamer". From Rfam's summary of the family: SAM-IV is a mRNA element that regulates gene expression via direct sensing of S-adenosylmethionine (SAM or AdoMet). SAM-IV riboswitches share conserved nucleotide positions with the previously described SAM-I riboswitches sequence analysis and molecular recognition experiments suggest that SAM-I and SAM-IV riboswitches share similar ligand binding sites, but have different scaffolds. Lineage: Bacteria; Bacillati; Actinomycetota; Actinomycetes; Micromonosporales; Micromonosporaceae. The record is from Rfam by way of RNAcentral.
GGUCAUGAGUGCCAGCAGAUAGCCCCGGCUUGCUGGCCGGCAACCCUUGCGUUCGCGAUGGGGUGCCCCGGGUGAAGACCGGGCUGAUGUCGCCCGACAUCGGCAAAACGGCGAA